UACGGGGGGUGCGAGCGUUGUCCGGAAUCACUGGGCGUAAAGGGCGCGUAGGUGGUCUGAUAAGGGUGUGGUGAAAGCCCGGGGCUCAACCCCGGGUCGGCCGUACCGACUGUUAGACUAGAGUGCUGUAGGGGCAGGCGGAAUUCCGGGUGUAGCGGUGGAAUGCGUAGAGAUCCGGAGGAAGACCGGUGGCGAAGGCGGCCUGCUGGGCAGUUACUGACACUGAGGCGCGACAGCGUGGGGAGCAAACAGG
Molecule: ribosomal RNA, 253 nt
Filed under: uncultured bacterium
Lineage: Bacteria
Description: partial 16S ribosomal RNA
Rfam family: Bacterial small subunit ribosomal RNA
Source: RNAcentral